AGAUGGAAAACUAUACUCAGCCACAGUGACUGACUUCCUUGCCAUUGACGCAGUCAUUUACCGGAGUCUUGGAGAAAGCCCUACCCUGCGGACCGUCAAGCAUGAUUCAAAAUGGUUGAAAGAACCAUACUUUGUUCAAGCUGUGGAUUACGGAGAUUAUAUCUACUUCUUCUUCAGGGAAAUAGCAGUGGAGUAUAACACCAUGGGAAAGGUAGUUUUCCCAAGAGUGGCUCAGGUUUGUAAGAAUGAUAUGGGAGGAUCUCAAAGAGUCCUGGAGAAACAGUGGACGUCGUUCCUGAAGGCGCGCUUGAACUGCUCAGUUCCUGGAGACUCUCAUUUUUAUUUCAACAUUCUCCAGGCAGUUACAGAUGUGAUUCGUAUCAACGGGCGUGAUGUUGUCCUGGCAACGUUUUCUACACCUUAUAACAGGUAAUCAUGCCCUAGCUGUGUUGACCUCAUCAAUUCUUCCUGGCUUCCUUCUCCCAGGGGGUUCUCUUCUAAUAAACCAUAUUUGCAACUGACUGAAAAUUGCAUUCA
RNAcentral lists this small RNA (537 nucleotides) under Pan troglodytes (chimpanzee). Its description in RNAcentral is "retained intron". Lineage: Eukaryota; Metazoa; Chordata; Mammalia; Primates; Hominidae. The record is from RNAcentral.